Molecule: ribosomal RNA, 253 nt
Filed under: uncultured bacterium
Lineage: Bacteria
Also listed under: 1 other name
Description: partial 16S ribosomal RNA
Rfam family: Bacterial small subunit ribosomal RNA
Source: RNAcentral
GACGAGGGAUCCUAGCGUUGUUCGGAAUCACUGGGCGUAAAGCGUUUGUAGGCGGCUCUAUAAGUCGGGUGUGAAAUCCCACGGCUCAACCGUGGAAGUGCAUUCGAAACUGCAGAGCUUGAAUAUGGUAGAGGAGAGUAGAAUUCCUGGUGUAGUGGUGAAAUACGUAGAUAUCAGGAGGAAUACCGGUGGCGAAGGCGGCUCUCUGGACCAAUAUUGACGCUGAGAAACGAAAGUGCGGGGAUCAAACAGG